This 408-nucleotide ribosomal RNA is filed under the name Spintharus sp. JA 00003068A. Its description in RNAcentral is "partial 16S ribosomal RNA". Lineage: Eukaryota; Metazoa; Arthropoda; Arachnida; Araneae; Theridiidae. The record is from RNAcentral.
AUGAAAAAUUUUAAAUAGCUGCAAUUUUUGUACUAAGGUAGCAUAAUCAUUUGUUUUUUAAUUUUAAACUAGAAUGAAAGGUAAAACAAAUUAUUUCUUUAUUUUUUAUUUUAUUCCAAUUUAUAUUAAAUAUAAAAAUAUAUUUUUUUAAAAAAAAGACGACAAGACCCUAUUGAACUUUACUUUAGUUAAGCUGGGGAAGCUUAAUAAUAAACAUUUUAUUAAAAAUUUUAUAAAUGACCCAAAACAUUUGAUUAAUUAAUCAAGUUACCAUAGGGAUAACAGCGCAAUAAACUUUUAAAGUUCUUAUCUAAAAAUUUGUUUACGACCUCGAUGUUGAAUUAGAAACCUUUAUUAAGCAAAAAUAAUAAAAGUAGGUCUGUUCGACCUUUAAUAUUCUACAUGAUC